CCUACGGGCUGCAGCAGUGGGGAAUAUUGGACAAUGGGCGAAAGCCUGAUCCAGCCAUGCCGCGUGUGUGAAGAAGGCCUUCGGGUUGUAAAGCACUUUCAGUGGGGAAGAAAGCCUUGGGGCUAAUACCCUCGAGGAAGGACAUCACCCACAGAAGAAGCACCGGCUAACUCCGUGCCAGCAGCCGCGGUAAUACGGAGGGUGCGAGCGUUAAUCGGAAUUACUGGGCGUAAAGCGCGCGUAGGCGGUCUGAUAAGCCGGUUGUGAAAGCCCCGGGCUCAACCUGGGAACGGCAUCCGGAACUGUCAGGCUAGAGUGCAGGAGAGGAAGGUAGAAUUCCCGGUGUAGCGGUGAAAUGCGUAGAGAUCGGGAGGAAUACCAGUGGCGAAGGCGGCCUUCUGGACUGACACUGACGCUGAGGUGCGAAAGCGUGGGUAGCAAACAGGAUUAGAUACCGUGUAGUC
RNAcentral lists this ribosomal RNA (464 nucleotides) under Vreelandella stevensii. RNAcentral describes it as "partial 16S ribosomal RNA". It matches the Rfam family "Bacterial small subunit ribosomal RNA", at positions 338 to 795 of the family's 1533-position model. The record is from RNAcentral. Lineage: Bacteria; Pseudomonadati; Pseudomonadota; Gammaproteobacteria; Oceanospirillales; Halomonadaceae.